ACGGAAGGCAGCAGUGGGGAAUAUUGCACAAUGGGGGAAACCCUGAUGCAGCGACGCCGCGUGAGUGAAGAAGUUAUUCGUAAUGUAAAGCUCUAUCAGCAGGGAAGAAAAUGACGGUACCUGACUAAGAAGCCCCGGCUAACUACGUGCCAGCAGCCGCGGUAAUACGUAGGGGGCAAGCGUUAUCCGGAUUUACUGGGUGUAAAGGGAGCGUAGGCGGCGAUGCAAGUCAGAUGUGAAAACCCGGGGCUCAACCCCGAGGACUGCAUUUGAAACUGUAUUGCUAGAGUAUCGGAGAGGUUAGUGGAAUUCCUAGUGUAGCGGUGAAAUGCGUAGAUAUUAGGAAGAACACCGGUGGCGAAGGCGGCUAACUGGACGAAAACUGACGCUGAGGCUCGAAAGCGUGGGGAGCAAACAGGAUUAGAUACCCUGGUA
This 435-nucleotide ribosomal RNA is filed under the name uncultured Lachnospiraceae bacterium. Its description in RNAcentral is "bacterial SSU rRNA". It matches the Rfam family "Bacterial small subunit ribosomal RNA", at positions 341 to 792 of the family's 1533-position model. The record is from RNAcentral. Lineage: Bacteria; Bacillati; Bacillota; Clostridia; Lachnospirales; Lachnospiraceae.